GGAGUUUGGUCCGUGUCUCAGUACCAAUGUGGGGGACCUUCCUCUCAGAACCCCUACUGAUCGUUGCCUUGGUGGGCCGUUACCCCGCCAACAAGCUAAUCAGACGCAUCCCCAUCCCUUAGCGAUAAAUCUUUGGUAUUCGUCAGAUGUCCUCAAAAUACAACAUAGAGUAUUAAUCCGACUUUCGCCGGGCUAUCCUCUACUAAGGGGAAGGUUGGAUACGCGUUACUCACCCGUGCGCCGGUCGCCGCCAGAAAUAGCAAGCUACUUCCGCGCUGCCCCUCGACUUGCAUGUGUUAGGCCUGUCGCUAGCGUUCAUC
RNAcentral lists this ribosomal RNA (320 nucleotides) under uncultured Prevotella sp. RNAcentral's name for it is "partial 16S ribosomal RNA". Lineage: Bacteria; Pseudomonadati; Bacteroidota; Bacteroidia; Bacteroidales; Prevotellaceae. The record is from RNAcentral.